UAGGCACUGUGUGCAUAGCAUCCAUCUAUGUUUAGUGCUGUUUUCCAACUGUGUUUUACAGCUGGAUUGCAGUGCUCACACAAGACCCGUUGGCCACAGAGAAACAUGAGAUCAUAGUACUGGCCUAGUAGUGUCAUAAAAUGUUAAUUGCUGGCCAGCCUCCAAAUUCUCAAACAAUG
This is a small nucleolar RNA of Callorhinchus milii (elephant shark), 179 nucleotides long. The record is from Ensembl. NCBI's taxonomy places the organism in Eukaryota, Metazoa, Chordata, Chondrichthyes, Chimaeriformes, Callorhinchidae.